CUUGACCUCAAUUCAGGUAGGACUACCCGCUGAACUUAACCAUAUC
RNAcentral lists this ribosomal RNA (46 nucleotides) under Amanita rubescens. RNAcentral describes it as "partial 28S ribosomal RNA". The record is from RNAcentral. Lineage: Eukaryota; Fungi; Basidiomycota; Agaricomycetes; Agaricales; Amanitaceae.